RNAcentral lists this ribosomal RNA (426 nucleotides) under uncultured bacterium. RNAcentral describes it as "bacterial SSU rRNA". It matches the Rfam family "Bacterial small subunit ribosomal RNA", at positions 354 to 796 of the family's 1533-position model. The record is from RNAcentral.
GUGAGGAAUUUUCCGCAAUGGGCGAAAGCCUGACGGAGCAAUGCCGCGUGAAGGAUGAAGGCCUAUGGGUUGUAAACUUCUUUUCUCAGAAAAGAAUUAUGACGGUAUCUGAGGAAUAAGCAUCGGCUAACUCUGUGCCAGCAGCCGCGGUAAGACAGAGGAUGCAAGCGUUAUCCGGAAUGAUUGGGCGUAAAGCGUCUGUAGGUUGUUUAAAAAGUAUUCUGUCAAAGAUUAGGGCUUAACCCUAGAUAGGCAGAAUAAACUUUUAAGCUAGAGUUUGGUAGAGGCAGAGAGAAUUCCCGGUGGAGCGGUGAAAUGCGUAGAUAUCGGGAGGAACACCAAAGGCGAAGGCACUCUGCUGGGCCAAUACUAACACUGAGAGACGAAAGCGAGGGGAGCAAAUGGGAUUAGAAACCCUUGUAGUCC